AUGACAUUGUUGCUGGAGAAACACCAUACUGAACCCAGGCCAAGGCAGCAAACAACAAAUCCAAUACCAGAGGAAAUAAUACAAACCAGAUCGCACACAGGGCAGAGCAGCAGAUCGAGCAGACAGGAGGACAAGAAGGAUGACCAGAACAGCAGUGGCGCGGGUCGCAUGGACGACGAAGCAACGACCCAAGCAGCGGCCGCGGGAAGCAGCACCGACAGCCGGAACAUCAAGACGGCAGGAUCCUACAACCACAGCAAGGAGCCGAGGCAUACACAGCACCGCCCAAAUCGCCAAUCUCCUCUGUCUGCACUGAGUGGCUGA
This 324-nucleotide ribosomal RNA is filed under the name Triticum aestivum (bread wheat). RNAcentral's name for it is "partial small subunit ribosomal RNA". The record is from RNAcentral. Lineage: Eukaryota; Viridiplantae; Streptophyta; Magnoliopsida; Poales; Poaceae.